AGUAAGAUCCUCCUGCAUCUUCUUAAUCCUAUUAGAUAGUUUCAUAGGAUUUGCGUUAUUGGGAUAGACUUGUUGAAACUCCUUCUCGAGCUUCAGCUGAACCAGGGUAAGAUCGUGAUUUGCCUUUGUCAAUAGAUUCACUAAACUGUCUGCUGCUUGGUGUUGGUGUUGGUGAUGAUGGUGGGUGUUAUGCCUCAUUUUCUUCCCCCUUCUCCUUUUUAGGGUUUCACUGCACAAAAUAUUUUGCUCCGCACCGCUCUACUUUGCCCGCGCCCAGCACCAGCCUUUUGAUUUUGGAAUUUU
Molecule: unclassified non-coding RNA, 303 nt
Filed under: Hevea brasiliensis (rubber tree)
Lineage: Eukaryota; Viridiplantae; Streptophyta; Magnoliopsida; Malpighiales; Euphorbiaceae
Source: RNAcentral